CGCCUUUUGAGUUACAAGCAUAAAAGGUCCUGCCUGCCCAGUGACACUGUUUCAACGGCCGCGGUAUCAUGACCGUGCAAAGGUAGCGUAAUCACUUGUCUUUUAAAUAAAGACCAGUAUGAACGGCAAAACGAAAGCCAAGCUGUCUCCCCAGAUUAGUCAAUGAAAUUGAUGUUCCCGUGCAGAAGCGGGAAUAAUAAUAUAAGACGAGAAGACCCUGUGGAGCUUCAAACUUAAGCUAACAAGCUAUAAAUGUCUUAGCACCAAGUUUUAGGUUGGGGCGACCACGAGGUAAAACACAACCCUCGAGACAAAAUUAAGAAGGACACUUCAAUAAUAACUAUAUGACAAGUUGACCCAAUAGUUGAUCAACGAACCAAGUUACCCCAGGGAUAACAGCGCAAUCUACUCAAAGAGCCCAUAUCGACGAGCAGGUUUACGACCUCGAUGUUGGAUCAGGACCUCCCAAUAACGUAACAGCUAUUAAAGGUUCGUUUGUUCAUCGAUUAAAGUCCU
RNAcentral lists this ribosomal RNA (516 nucleotides) under Isthmura gigantea (giant false brook salamander). RNAcentral's name for it is "partial 16S ribosomal RNA". It matches the Rfam family "Bacterial large subunit ribosomal RNA", at positions 1817 to 2597 of the family's 2925-position model. The record is from RNAcentral. Lineage: Eukaryota; Metazoa; Chordata; Amphibia; Caudata; Plethodontidae.